GCAACUCGCCUACACGAAGUUGGAAUUGCUAGUAAUCGUGGAUCAGCAUGCCACGGUGAAUACGUUCCCGGGUCUUGUACACACCGCCCGUCACACCAUGGGAGCCGGGAAUGCCCGAAGUCAGUGGCCCAACCGCAGGGAGGGAGCUGCCGAAGGCAGGCCUGGUGACUGGGGUGAAGUCGUAACAAGGUAAC
RNAcentral lists this ribosomal RNA (194 nucleotides) under uncultured bacterium. RNAcentral describes it as "partial 16S ribosomal RNA". It matches the Rfam family "Bacterial small subunit ribosomal RNA", at positions 1307 to 1500 of the family's 1533-position model. The record is from RNAcentral.